Molecule: long non-coding RNA, 2000 nt
Organism: Myotis myotis
Lineage: Eukaryota; Metazoa; Chordata; Mammalia; Chiroptera; Vespertilionidae
Exons: 3
Source: RefSeq, a predicted model, not a curated record
CUGAGUUUGCCCAGGCGAGGUCGAGCCCCUUCUCAGCUGAACCAAGUUAACCAUUGACUGGGGCAAGGUGGAGGGGUGGAGGGGGCUGGAGGGAGCAAGUCGGCGUCUGCCUUGUAAGACAAAACCCAGAGCCCCAGCCCUCAGCUUUCUGGGGGGCCCUGUGGGACUUCUCCACCCUGGAUAAGUCUGGGAGACCCUAGACAGGAACAGGAGGAGGUUCAGACAGCCAGAAGUACCCUCCAGGCUGGGGGUAGGCGCUGGUGGGCUCCAGCUCCACAAGAGUUAACAGAGAACAGCUCUGGAGAGAAACUCUCCCCCCAGGAGUUCCAGGCUGGAGGCCUGGAGUGACUCCAAGAAGCCAACGGGAUGAGCCCCGAAUUCUGCCUGCUCACCCAGGAAGGUGGGAGCCCGCAUGCCAGGCUCUCCCUCGCAGCUGGACUUGUCAGCCACGGAGGCAGAACGGGGCCCUGGCUGCACCUUGGUUUCCUGCCGCCCACCCUCGGCCUGUACCUGUGAUCCUGGCUGCCGCAGCUGGAGGUCCCUUGCUCUCGUGGAAAGAGGACACUGAUGUCCCAGGAAGAUGCCCACAACUUUCCAAAUCUGACACUUUCUCUGAAAACUUGGUCUAUUUGAGCGUGGAUGUCCAGUCCAGACGACACCAGAAGAGGCUAAGAAGUCAUCCCAGCUCGGGUGUUGGGAAGAGACUGGAAGGAUGGAGGGAUGGGCACUGGCCUGGGGGACUCUAACCAGGGCCGGAGCCAUUUCCAUCUUCACAGGAAGAGGCUCUGUGAAGGCACUCAUCCCCGCCCCCCACCCCCCAAACCCAGGCCUCUCUGGUUUCUGGGACACACGGGGGCAGAGUCCUGUCCUCUCAGCCUCACGCUGGAGAAGGCGCCCCAGGGAGAGCCGCAGUGCCCUGGCUUCAGUGGGGGCCCACCGGUGGCCUGCCCUUCGGAGCGUGCCACCAGGACCAGCUCCCCAACCCACCCUCCUGCGAGAGCCCAGCCCGGGAAGUCAGGCCCAAACCCUGGCCUUUGGGGGAUCUAUUUUGGGGAGGAGCAGAGUUGGGAGGGGAGUUUGAGAUCAGGCUGUAGACUGUGAAUAUCCCUUUAACAGAUCGCCCACACGCAGGCUGCCUCAUUGCUUGAUACAAUGCCUUACCUUUCAAUGCCCUUUCUGAAACUAGGCUCAAGGGUGAUAUUCCACAAACAAGCAUGCAAAGUGCAUGUUCUGGGAAAUGUGUCCUUGUUGAGAACAGCAAGUAAAAUACACGAAGGGAGUUAGUUCCAAGGACCUCGAUGGCCUGCCGGGGCUCGGAGCCCUGUUUCUGUGGUCCUUUUUGUUGCAGGAUGGAACCUGCCACCUUGACCGGGAAUCGAACCCAUGACCCUUCGGUGUGGGGGCCGACGCUCUAACCACUGAGAAUACUGGCCAGGGCCUGUGUGGACUCAACCCUGAUGGUGGAUCCACCCGGGGUGGAUCCUCUCAGCGGUGCGCCAACCUGCAUUCCCACUGCCAUGUUCCCAUUGCCCUCGGAGGCAUGGAACAGAGUCUCCCCGGGAGCCAGCCACUGCACUGACACCUUGCUUUCAGACUCCUGGCCUGCAGAAGCGUGAAAACAUACAUUUCUGAUGUUCCGAGGCACCCAUUUUGUGAUCAUUUGCUCCAGCAGCCCCGGCGAACCACAAACCCCAUUUCUGGUGCUGGGAACCCCAAGGCCCUCGAUGCCCGGAUGCCAGGCCACCCAUGUGCUCCUCUGCCCACGGGCCCUGAGGCUCUCCGUGGCCUUGGAAAAGGAGGGACAGGGCAGAAUGCUGUCCGCAGCCCACACUCCGUGCUCUCUGGGCAGCCUCCCACCCAGAGGUCAGCGGCUGAGGUACAUGAGUCACCGGGAGCUGAGGGUGGGGUGAGUGCCAGUGGUCUAUCGCCACCAAGUCACCAGGGCUGGGCCUUGCAGACUCACCCCUCCCUGCUCUGCCCCGCCUGUUGAUUCGAGCAGG